GAUCUCCACAAAGCCUGGAUAAAAUUUCUAUUACUUUAUCUUGGACUAGGGGAGAUCCCUCACAGAGGCAAUGUAUAAGAGGCUCUAAACUAGACGGAACUUCAGCAAGGGCACUCCAUGGGUUGUACGACAAUUGUGUGCCUUGUUUUGUCCUAGCAAGAAGUGCAAUAGCAUCUAAAGAAUCUGCAGCAUCAGUUCCAUCUGCAUUCAUCGCUUUUAAGGAUUCUGCAAUAGCCAGUCCAUGGGUUGUACGACAAAUGUGUGCCUUGUUUUGUCCUAGCAAGAAGUGCAAUAGCAUCUAAAGCAUCUGCAGCAUCAGUUCCAUCUGCAUUCAUCGCUUUUAAGGAUUCCGCAAUAGCCAGAACAGCAAAUCGACACUGAGCAGUUCCUAUCAGUACAUCUCCCACUGGAAAAUGCAUCAAUAGCUGAUGAAGCGCACGUGACGCAUUUUUUUUACCUUC
RNAcentral lists this long non-coding RNA (461 nucleotides) under Nicotiana benthamiana. Its description in RNAcentral is "long non-coding RNA (NBEN_LNC011112)". Lineage: Eukaryota; Viridiplantae; Streptophyta; Magnoliopsida; Solanales; Solanaceae. The record is from RNAcentral.